Molecule: long non-coding RNA, 249 nt
Organism: Macaca mulatta (Rhesus monkey)
Lineage: Eukaryota; Metazoa; Chordata; Mammalia; Primates; Cercopithecidae
Source: RefSeq, a predicted model, not a curated record
UCCUCCCACCUCAACCUCCCAAACUGCUGGGAUUACAGGCUUGAGCCACUGCACCCGGCCUAUUCUCACUUUCUAUAUGGCUUCAGAUGGAGUCCCCCUCUAUCGCCCAGGCUAGAGUGCAACCUGAUUCUACAACUUGGCCACAUGAUCGUGAGCAAGUUACAUACCCCUGUUUGAGUUUCAGUUUCCCCUCUGCAACAACAAAAAAAGGUUGGAUUAAGUAACGAUUAAAACCCCUUCCUAGAUUUC